CUUUUUGAGUAUAAUUUAAAGUCUGACCUGCCCACUGAAAUUUUUAAAUGGCCGCGGUAUAUUGACCGUGCAAAGGUAGCAUAABCAUUUGUUUCUUAAUUGGAAGCUGGAAUGAAAGGUUGAAUAAGAAAAUAACUGUCUCUGCUUAAUUUUAUUAGAAUUUUAUUUUUAAGUAAAAAAGCUUAAAUAUUUUUUGAAGACGAGAAGACCCUAUAGAGUUUUAUAAUUAAAAUAUUUAGGUGGUUUAGGAUUUAUGUAAUUUAAGUAUUUAUAUUAUUGAAUUGGGGUGAUUGAAAAAUUAAUUAAACUUUUUUUUUAUUUUACCAUUUAUUUAUGAUUAAUUGAUCCUUUUAAAGAUUAUAAGAUUAAAUUACCUUAGGGAUAACAGCGUUAUUUUUUUUUAGAGUUCAAAUCAAAAAAAAAGAUUGCGACCUCGAUGUUGGAUUAAAGUUUAUUUUUGGUGUAGAGGCUAAA
Molecule: ribosomal RNA, 474 nt
Filed under: Apion frumentarium
Lineage: Eukaryota; Metazoa; Arthropoda; Insecta; Coleoptera; Brentidae
Description: partial 16S ribosomal RNA
Source: RNAcentral